This 3180-nucleotide long non-coding RNA is filed under the name Gossypium barbadense (sea-island cotton). RNAcentral describes it as "long non-coding RNA (GBAR_LNC006691)". Lineage: Eukaryota; Viridiplantae; Streptophyta; Magnoliopsida; Malvales; Malvaceae. The record is from RNAcentral.
UUCAAUAUUAUAUAUGUAACACCCCUCGCCCUCAUCCAACGCCUGGACGGGAUUCGAGGUGCUACCUGACUUUACUAACACUUCCAUACUAAACAGUGCCAUGAAAUCUCAAAUAAUUAAAAACUUUUCUUUUCUCAUGCAAUCUGUCCUUUAUGCGAGCUUACGAGGCCCAAUACAUGCAUUCGGGAUGGUUCGGGACCCAACCGAGAACUCAUGAAAAACUUAGGAAAUCUCUUGUAUCAAGGCUCCACACGCCCGUGUAGGUAUAGAACACACGCUCGGGUGCUAAGAACACGCCCGUGUCCCGAACCCAUGUCCAAAACCUGGACAAAUACAAGGCUAUUUUCCAAGCCAUUUUGUCACACUCACAACACAUGCACGCAUACCUAUACAAUAGCAUACAACAUGGCAAAAUUAGGCACUUAAACCUUCCUAACAUGACAUGACCAUGGUAAUUUCACAUGCAACCAUUACAAUAAGUUUUUCUUUCAUCUUUACCAUAUUAAUGCUAUAGCUAUCAACAUGUCAUCAAACCUCAUGUCCAUCACAAAGCAUGAAUAAUCAUAUCCACAAACCAUUCAUGAAGCAUUAUUAACUAUUUACCAAUCACUUAAUCCUGCAUUAGUUAUUAGCUCAUCAAUGAAUCUCAAUUCAAUCUCUAGGCAUACAUGUUGUAAGCCACAUCACAAGAGAUAAUAACAUACAUGCAUAAGAAUAAUCAUAUGGCCCAUAACGAUAUUAGCCGACAUAGGCCAAUUUACAUGACUAAUACUACCUUAAUAACAAGCCAAUGCCUUUGGCUAAAUCAUAAUAUUACAUACUCACAUUAAAACCCUAUACAUGCCAUAGACUAGAAUCACUUGAGUUUACUUACGCCGAUAGCGUUAACUCGACAGUGUGAUAAUAUCUCUGACGGCCUUCAACCCGAGCUAACCUGGAAACUCUAGAAAACAUGGGAAAGAAGGGGGGGUAAGCUUUCACUUAGUAAGUUCAUAUGAAAACAAUAAGCAACUCAUUAACUUGUUUUAUCAAUGUUUACAACAUAUUCUCAAGUUCACUGCAAGCUGUCUUCCUAAGCAAUAGUCACUAAAUUAUUUAUAUCUGGAGCUACAAAACUCCAAAUUAAGUUCCGUUAAUUUUCCCUGAAACUAGACUCAUUUAUCUUUCUUUCAUAAAAUUUCCAGAAUUUUUAGUCAAGCCAUUUAGUACAGUUUAUUAGUUAAAGUCUCCCCUGUUUCAGGGUAUGACCACUCUGACCCUUGUGCACUACAAACCGAAUUUCUCCCUGUACAAAAUUCCAACGACGAUGCCAUUUUUUCCCUUAAAAAUAGACUCAAUAAGGAAUCCAUGCAUGUAAGGUAUGACUCUUAAUAAUUUUUUUACAAUUUAUGAUGAAUUUCUAAAGUUAGAACAGGGGAUCUCGAAUUCAUUUAGACCCUGUUUUACAAGAAUUCAAAUAUCACACAAUAUAGAAUUCUUUUUCUUCCUCUGUUUCUUUCAUGUAAAAAUAGACUCAUUAAGCUUUAAUCUCAUAUUUUAUUCUGCCUCUAACUAAUUUUCCACUAUUUUUAGUGUAUUUUCAAAGUUACAUUACUACAGUAACUCAAAUCUGUCAAGGCUAAGUUACUCAUUCAUGAUCAUUGUUCACAAAAUUAAUACAACAUCAUUUCAUCCAUCAUGGUAAGAACACAUAUUAUGCAUCAUAGAUCAUCACAUAUCAAGGCAUUCUCAUAGGCUUAAUAUACAUACUUGCACAACUCGUAACAUAACUCAAGUGUAUACUCACCAAUGACUUACCUCGUUGGGACCAUCAUCAACUCUUUCCUUGGAUUACCCGUUGAACACUUGGAAUACUAAUUGGAUACUCAGAAAAGCCUUUGCACAUAAGUGCCUCAAUUGUAGCUAAAGCUACCUCAUAUCUCAUGACAUUUCAAUGCUCACUCUCGAGCUAGUCAUCUAGACUCAUAAUUUCUAGUGACAUGUCACUCGUAUCCUAUUCUAUUUCUAAGGUUCAAACGAGAUUUUUCCUCGUCUAUUAAGGCUUUGUCUUAUCAUAUUUCUAUUAAUCACAUACACUUAAUAUCUGUACAAUUCAUGUAAUGAUAACAUUUAAAUACAUGUAUAGCAUGGUAUUGUUUACAUACAAACUUACCUCAAUACCACAAAGGUGAAAAGGACAUAAUCAUCCCUUAAUCGAUUUCUUUCUGUUCUAGGUCCAAAUCUCGAUUUUCUUGAUCUAUAAUAUCACAUUUAGCCUACCAAUCAGUCACAAUAUUCAUAUGGGUAUAAAAAUCAUAUUUUUACAAAUUUUUAUUUUGACCCCUAAACUUUUGCAUAUUUGCACUUUUGCCUCAAUGCUCGUAAAAUAAUUUUUAUCACAUUUCUUUACUCCUUGAGUCUAGAUGAACCAUUUUCAUAACUAUAGCAACUCAUAAUUUCAACUAUUUUACACAUUACAACUUAUUUUACAACUUAGCAAUCUAGCCCUUUUUUAAGAUGUUUUCAUGUAAUUUCUUUCACAAAAGUUGUUUAUUAGACAACUAGGACUCAUAAUCUUCCAUAAAAACACAGAAAACAACACAUUUACUCUCAUGGCAAAACCCUAGACUCUUCAUCAUUUUGCAAAAUAGUCCCCUCUUAUGAAAGCUCAUGCUUUAGGGGUUCCAAAAAUGUAAAAAUCAUCAAGCAAAGACAUUAAAAUCACUUACAAGCAAGUGAAAUAUGUUGCUGAAAUUUUCCAGCUUCAAAACCCUUUCUUUGCUGCAUAUUUCGGUGAAGGAGAAGAGAAAAAUGAUAGCUUUUUCUUUUUUAUUUGUUAACAAUAAAACUAGUCAAAAUUGGUGACCAAAUUUCACCUAAUUUUGACUUUUCAACAAUUUUGUCUCCCAUGGCCGGCCAUCACACUUUCAAUGGCCUAAUUUCACUUUAAAGACCCCCAAUUUAAGAUACAAGGCAAUUUAACACACCUUUAGGUAUUAAAACACAACUUUUACCUUUUACGCGAUUUAGUCCUUUUUCGGAAUUGGACUAGAAAUUGCUAAAAUUAACUUACCAAAAAUUACAUGCACUUAUAAAAUUAUAUUAUAACACAUAAAAUAAUACUAAAAUAAUUUUAUCUAGCCUCGAAAUAGUGGUCCCGAAACCACUGUUCCGACUAGGCCCAAAAUCGGGCUGUUACAA